GGGCGCUGAGGCCCCUCUCCCAGGCCAGCGUGCAGAAGAGGGUGUGCAGUAGCCGCCAGCGGAGCAGCACAGCACAGCGGUAGAAGGUCCCCGAACAGUGCCAUGGCUGCCGCCCGAAUCCCGUCCCGCUCCUGCAAGGCAGAGGCUCAGAGGCACGGCCAGACCUGUCCAGGGGUCCCAGCUUUGGUCCAAGUUGGGACCCCACACCUUGUAGGGGUACAACUCAGUUCUUUCUGCAGGAUUCCUUCACCCAGGCUCUCGGCUCCCGGGGAAGGGAAGGGCUGGGGCUCCCCCCUCACACAGGGCUCUCUGGUGUCCCUGAGGAUGUAAGAAUCACAUCUCCCUUCUACCCACAACUGCAUCCUGGCAGCCCAGGCCUCAUGAAUGCAUUUGAGGGGCGCCUAUCCCCCAGAUUCCCCAGUGAAGGAAAAACAGCCACGCUAACCGUGCUGACAUGUCAGAAAGCAAAUCUGGGUAGGCUGUCGUGGGGCCGGAGACCACUGCACUUGGAGACUGAACGUGAGAACUAGUUCAGCCCUGUGGAGAAGGGGGUCUCACACUGUCACCCAGGCUGGAGUACAGUGGUGUGAC
This 591-nucleotide long non-coding RNA is filed under the name Homo sapiens (human). Its description in RNAcentral is "HSALNT0350572". Lineage: Eukaryota; Metazoa; Chordata; Mammalia; Primates; Hominidae. The record is from RNAcentral.